This 191-nucleotide ribosomal RNA is filed under the name uncultured anaerobic bacterium. RNAcentral's name for it is "partial 16S ribosomal RNA". It matches the Rfam family "Bacterial small subunit ribosomal RNA", at positions 336 to 519 of the family's 1533-position model. The record is from RNAcentral.
CUCCUACGGGACGCAGCAGUCGGGAAAUUUUGCAAAACGGCCGAAAGGCUGUUGCAGCAACGCCGGGUGAGCGAAGAAGGCCUUCGGGUUGUAAAGCUCUGUUGCCUGCGAAGAAGGGCCCUGUCAGGAAAUGGGCGGGGUUUGACGGUAGCAGGCGAGAAAGCCCCGGCAAAUACGUGCCAGCAGCCGCG